UUCAGGGAAUAUACAGUCUACUCAUAAUCUUUAAUGCUGUCUUGAUCAAAAUUCAUUCAUACGGCAGCUAAAGUUUCCACAACAAAUUUUUCCUCUAUAGGUACUUCCUGCUCCUCCUCAUAAUACAUAUCCACAAUAGAAAAUAUGCUCAUAUUUUUAUGCUAUUUCAUGGAUUGGUAUACAUCAAAUAAAACUACUUCAUCAUUCAACCUGAAUCGUAGCUCAUUUGCCU
This 232-nucleotide long non-coding RNA is filed under the name Capsicum annuum. RNAcentral describes it as "long non-coding RNA (CANN_LNC005068)". The record is from RNAcentral. Lineage: Eukaryota; Viridiplantae; Streptophyta; Magnoliopsida; Solanales; Solanaceae.